Molecule: ribosomal RNA, 498 nt
Filed under: uncultured bacterium
Lineage: Bacteria
Description: partial 16S ribosomal RNA
Rfam family: Bacterial small subunit ribosomal RNA
Source: RNAcentral
AUUGAACGCUGGCGGCAUGCCUUACACAUGCAAGUCGAACGGCAGCACGGGGCAACCUGGUGGCGAGUGGCGAACGGGUGAGUAAUGCAUCGGAACGUACCUUUCAGUGGGGGAUAACGUAGCGAAAGUUACGCUAAUACCGCAUAUUCUGUGAGCAGGAAAGCAGGGGAUCGCAAGACCUUGCGCUGAUUGAGCGGCCGAUGUCAGAUUAGCUAGUUGGUGAGGUAAAGGCUCACCAAGGCGACGAUCUGUAGCGGGUCUGAGAGGAUGAUCCGCCACACUGGAACUGGGACACGGGCCAGACUCCUACGGGAGGCAGCAGUGGGGAAUUCUGGACAAUGGGGGCAACCCUGAUCCAGCCAUGCCGCGUGAGUGAAGAAGGCCUUCGGGUUGUAAAGCUCUUUCGGCCGGGAAGAAAUCGCACGGGCUAAUACCCUGUGUGGAUGACGGUACCGGAAUAAGAAGCACCGGCUAACUACGUGCCAGCAGCCGCGGUAA